AUAUCUUAUUACCACGUCUUUGGUUAGAUUAUGUAUUUAUGAAAUUCCUAUUUCUCAAUUAAUUUUUAUCUGCCUAUUUUGCUUCAUUUUUGGUUGUUGCAGGUAUCUUAUUGAAGAACAGAGUUAAUAUUGCUAGUGGCACUCCAAGUAGAAUCAAAAAGUUAAUUGACAUUGAGGCAUUGGGGCUUUCACGUUUAUCAGUACUUCUGCUUGAUAUUCGCACAGAUGUCAAAGGCUAUUCCUUGCUUACACUUCCCCAAGUCAGAGAUGAGUUCUGGGACUUGUAUAAGAACUACUUUCACCAGCAAGUCGUUCAAGGCGAUCUGCGCAUCUGUCUUUAUGGUCCGAUUCCAAAUGGUAAUGAAUUUAAGGGAAAAAGUGUAGAAUUAGCUGAAGGAGAUAAAGAACCCUAGAUUCAUUAAAAAAAUAUGGUGUUGUGCAUGUAUCAUGCAUUUUUGUUUUAGAAAAAGGUUAAGUUACAUAAUUUUUAUCGUCAUCCUUUGUUUAGAAAUCUAUUAUUCAUGAAUUUCACUUUCA
This is a long non-coding RNA of Hibiscus syriacus, 537 nucleotides long. RefSeq lists it as uncharacterized. The record is from RefSeq and is a predicted model, not a curated record. NCBI's taxonomy places the organism in Eukaryota, Viridiplantae, Streptophyta, Magnoliopsida, Malvales, Malvaceae. The transcript has 3 exons.